CCUACGGGAGGCUGCAGUGGGGAAUCUUGCGCAAUGGGCGAAAGCCUGACGCAGCAACGCCGCGUGGGGGAUGAAGGCUUUCGGGUUGUAAACCCCUUUCAGCAGGGACGAAUCAAGACGGUACCUGCAGAAGAAGCCCCGGCUAACUACGUGCCAGCAGCCGCGGUAACACGUAGGGGGCAAGCGUUGUCCGGAUUUAUUGGGCGUAAAGAGCUCGUAGGCGGCUCGAUAAGUCGGGUGUCAAAUCCUCAGGCUCAACCUGGGGCACCACCCGAUACUGUCGUGGCUAGAGUCCGGUAGGGGAGCGUGGAAUUCCUGGUGUAGCGGUGAAAUGCGCAGAUAUCAGGAGGAACACCAGCGGCGAAGGCGGCGCUCUGGGCCGGAACUGACGCUGAGGAGCGAAAGCGUGGGUAGCAAACAGGAUUAGAUACCCCUGUAGUC
This 441-nucleotide ribosomal RNA is filed under the name uncultured Acidimicrobiales bacterium. RNAcentral describes it as "bacterial SSU rRNA". It matches the Rfam family "Bacterial small subunit ribosomal RNA", at positions 338 to 795 of the family's 1533-position model. Lineage: Bacteria; Bacillati; Actinomycetota; Acidimicrobiia; Acidimicrobiales. The record is from RNAcentral.